UACGUAGGCAGCGAGCGUUGUUCGGAAUUACUGGGCGUAAAGAGUGUGUAGGCGGUGCUCUAAGUUCGGUGUGAAAUCUCCUGGCUCAGCUGGGAGGGUGCGCCGGAAACUGGAGUGCUUGAGCGUGGGAGAGGAAAGCGGAAUUCCUGGUGUAGCGGUGAAAUGCGUAGAUAUCAGGAGGAACACCUGUGGUGUAGACGGCUUUCUGGACCAUAGCUGACGCUGAGACACGAAAGCGUGGGUAGCAAACAGG
RNAcentral lists this ribosomal RNA (253 nucleotides) under uncultured bacterium. RNAcentral's name for it is "partial 16S ribosomal RNA". It matches the Rfam family "Bacterial small subunit ribosomal RNA", at positions 524 to 776 of the family's 1533-position model. The record is from RNAcentral.